This 258-nucleotide long non-coding RNA is filed under the name Lathyrus oleraceus (garden pea). RNAcentral describes it as "Pisum sativum (pea) long non-coding RNA (PSAT_LNC000267)". Lineage: Eukaryota; Viridiplantae; Streptophyta; Magnoliopsida; Fabales; Fabaceae. The record is from RNAcentral.
UAAAAGUGGAAUUUGAUAAAAGAGGCCAAAGUGAGAACUCAGAGUGUUUUCACGUAUUUUUGCCUCAGAGUCAGAGAAAGGGAGAAACGCUGAAGAGAAAGAGAAGGAAGAGGAAAAGGCCAAAGAUUGCUCAGAACUUCCUUCAAUCCAAAGAGGUAAGGGGUCUGAACCUUAUUAAACGAUAAUAUGCGAGCAAAUUCAUGAUAUAUGUUGGAUUGUUGAUGGAUUUUGGGGAUUUUAGGGAGAUUGGGAAAGUUN